This 29-nucleotide non-coding RNA is filed under the name Rattus norvegicus (Norway rat). Lineage: Eukaryota; Metazoa; Chordata; Mammalia; Rodentia; Muridae. The record is from RNAcentral.
UGAAAAAAAGUAUCCCAUGCCAUGUAAAA